Molecule: microRNA precursor, 121 nt
Filed under: Mus spretus (western wild mouse)
Lineage: Eukaryota; Metazoa; Chordata; Mammalia; Rodentia; Muridae
Description: microRNA 8090 (ENSMSPG00010008287.1)
Source: RNAcentral
GUAGCUCAGAGUUUUAAGUUUCACCCAUCAUACAGGGAAGUCCAGGCCUCCGCACUGGGCUCCUGAUGUGCAGUCAGAAGCGUACUGCCCAUGUCUCUUCCUGCUUUUAUAUAGCCUGUGA